Molecule: ribosomal RNA, 501 nt
Filed under: uncultured bacterium
Lineage: Bacteria
Description: partial 16S ribosomal RNA
Rfam family: Bacterial small subunit ribosomal RNA
Source: RNAcentral
GACGAACGCUGGCGGCGUGCCUAAUACAUGCAAGUCGAACGAACCGCGACUGAGUGCUUGCACUUGGUCAAGGUGAGUGGCGAACGGGUGAGUAACACGUGGGUAACCUACCUCAUAGUGGGGGAUAACAGUCGGAAACGACUGCUAAUACCGCAUAGGACAUAGGAUCACAUGAUCCAGUGAGGAAAGGUGGCGCAAGCUAUCGCUAAGAGAUGGACCCGCGGUGCAUUAGCUAGUUGGUAGGGUAAAGGCCUACCAAGGCGAUGAUGCAUAGCCGACCUGAGAGGGUGAUCGGCCACAUUGGGACUGAGACACGGCCCAAACUCCUACGGGAGGCAGCAGUAGGGAAUCUUCCGCAAUGGACGCAAGUCUGACGGAGCAACGCCGCGUGAGUGAAGAAGGUCUUCGGAUCGUAAAGCUCUGUUGUUAGAGAAGAACAGCGCAUAGAGUAACUGCUAUGCGUGUGACGGUAUCUAACCAGAAAGCCACGGCUAACUACGU